AUGUCUAAGCGGUGAUACACGGCCAAUGAAUUUAGCAGCAGACCAUCUCCCCAGGUAGGACCUUUGGGUCUUCACCCGUCCGGCGACGAAAUGACAGAACCUUUUCACCCUCUUCUCCCAAAUUCAGAAAUGUGCUACGAUGACCAUGCUUUCCUUUGUAAUGGGGUGGGGGGAGGGAGAGCUUUGCAGUGGGUAAUUUUUUCGUGGAAAAAGGACUGCAUGCUCGAAGAGAAGGAAUGAGGCAGUUCCACUCCGAUGACGUUGAAUCUCACGAGGGACGGGAUCAUGAAAAGUCAACCCCUCUCGUACCCCUGCCUACGAGUAAUUUCCGUAUCAUUCCAACUACAGGCCGCGCUUGUCUGUUCCACAGCGCGGCUGUGGAAUUCGCGCUUUGCUUUUCUCACUUAACAAAAUAUCUCAGGGAUCGUUCUGAUCUCUAGCAGCAUGGAUUGACGCGAAGGCGGUGUUUUGAAUCCAUAAAAUUAGUUAACUGAGAAAAUCAUGAAGGCCCUCUUAUCCUGAGCACCAGCCAAAGUGUUGGGGAGUCAGCUCUCUCCCCAGUAAAAUCUGAUAGCAGCCUGGCAUGAUGCUACCUCUUACCUGUAUUGCCUCGUUCGGUCCUCAGCAGACCCAGGGAGGGAGUUAUUCUCCCAUUUGUAGAUGAGGACACCGCUGCGAACGGAGCUUGGGAACGUGCUGGAGUCACACUGUAAGCGGCAGGGUCAGAAUCUGAACCCAGGCAGUCGGAAGGCAGAGCUCUGGCCCUCAACCACUGCCUUCCAGAAGAAGACAAGGAACUGUCUGGGAGCUGGAGCUGUUAUGAACACUCCUGGCGACGACACCGAGGACAAAAUGGACACGAAGAUUUGCAGAGUGUGUGGAAGUCCCGUGUGUGACCCCGGAGGAAAUGAAUCUGGGGAGGGAAGGUUUUCAAAGGCACCAGUGACCUGCUCAGAGCAGGAAAGACCUGGGGGGUUAUCACCUCCACUGCUGAGCCCAAGGCAGACCUUCCAGGCCUGUCAGGGACCCAGCAGAUUAUCCUCAGGCUCCAUGAAGUCGGUCUGUCCCAGACAAGGCGGAGACACACAGGCUCUUAAAAUAUAG
RNAcentral lists this long non-coding RNA (1104 nucleotides) under Felis catus (domestic cat). RNAcentral's name for it is "lncRNA (ENSFCAG00000049808.1)". Lineage: Eukaryota; Metazoa; Chordata; Mammalia; Carnivora; Felidae. The record is from RNAcentral.